CCACCAAGGAGGGGAAAGAAAUCCAGCCUUCCAUUUAAGACAGUACUAGGUGGAAAAAGAAUUCUCUACAAAAUAAAGAGCCUACUAUUUUCCUAGCAAACACUGUGACCCCUUUCAAAUAGCCUUUUGAAGUCUCAUAACCAUGGGGCCACCUUCCCUUCCCCUCCUGGGCAUCGGGACUUCUGUUCCCUGUUUACCCACCCCACAAGGCUCCCGCUUCCCUGCUGGUCACCAGGCUCCUGUGAGAGAGGGCAGCUUUGUCACGCUGCAGGCAGGGACCAAGAACAAGGGGAUGUCGUCUACAAGACCUACCUCCCUCCUACAGUGCCAUUCUUACUUUCAAGUCAGAUGUGUGAUUUAUUUUCACAAUAACCCCAGAUACCAAAAUAACAAGUACAAGUGGCAAUGGUGACUCCCAGCAACUCAGGAGACUGAGGCAGGAGCCUCACAGAUUCAAGGCCAACCUGGGCAACUGGAGGAGACCCUGUCUCAAAAUUUUUAAAAAAUGGGGGCUGGGGUUGCGGCUCAGGGGUAGAGUGCUCGCCUAGCAUGUGUGAGGCACUGGGUUCAAUCCUCAGCACCACAUAAAAAUAAAUAAAGGCAUUGUGUCUAUCGAGAACUAAAAAACUUAUUAAAAAACAAAAAGGUAGAGUUCCCCUGGGCUCAGUUUCCAGUAACAAAAUGAAAAUAAGUACAAGUCAAAACCCAAACACAGGCUGGGUGCAGUGGUACACGCCUGUAAUCCCAGGGGCUAGGGAGGCUGAGGCAGGAGGAUCACAAGUCCAAAGCCAGCCUCAGCAAAAGUGAGGUGCUAAGCAACUCAGGGAGACCCUAUCUCUAAAUAGAAUACAAAAUCGGGUUGGGGAUGUGGAUCAGUGGCCAAGUGCCCCUGCCUUUGAGCCCCAGUACCCCCCGCCCUGCCAAAAAGACCCAGACACAGUAAAGAGGAACUGAAGGCAAUCCAGGAAAGGGGUGGUCUCCAAAGCAACCUGAGGAAGAAAACAGACGACUUCCAAAG
This 1018-nucleotide long non-coding RNA is filed under the name Marmota monax (woodchuck). The record is from RNAcentral. Lineage: Eukaryota; Metazoa; Chordata; Mammalia; Rodentia; Sciuridae.